This is a long non-coding RNA of Capra hircus (goat), 686 nucleotides long. RefSeq lists it as uncharacterized. NCBI's taxonomy places the organism in Eukaryota, Metazoa, Chordata, Mammalia, Artiodactyla, Bovidae. The record is from RefSeq and is a predicted model, not a curated record. The transcript has 2 exons.
AGCCCAGCGCGCCCGGGGCCGCGCGGCCUGCGGGGACAGGGUGGGGGUCAGCUUCCUAGCCUGGGGGAAUCAGGCUUCCGUCCGCGAGGACAAGCGGGCGUGGGGUCAAGCCAGAGACGGGGGAGGUUUGGUGCGGAGCCAGAAGGCGAACCGGAGCCAGAGCCGCGGACCCUUCCCGAACUUUGCGAGGGGCGACUGUGGUGUUUCAGCCCGGGGGGUGGGGCGCAAAGUGGAGCUGGCCUCCAGGGUACCCUUGGGAGGCAGAAGGAUGAGGGCAUCUCGCGGGGUCGGGGGACUACGAGGAAGGCGGGACAAGCCAGAGGAGAAAGGGCGCACCGUCUGGAGGACGGGGCGGGGACUCUGAGGCCUUCCGGAGCUCCUGCUGGAGCGGACUUGCAGGUCCAGGCCGGCACCAGUGGCGGGGGCCGACCAUGGUCAGAGUAGGGGCAGCCAGCUGGCAUGAUGCCUCUACCAAGGCCUUCUCCAGAUGUACCCCUCUUUUUGCCAUCCAGAAGUGAAAGUGAAGUCGCUCAGUCGUGUCCAACUCUUUGCGACCCUGUGGACUGUAGCCCACCAAGCUCCUCCGUCCAUGGGAUUCUCCAGGCAAGAGUACUGGAGUGGGUUGCCAUUUCCUUCUCCAUAUUGGCUCAAUAAAUGGUCUUCAGGCCCCUGGAUUUCCCACUGCA